UCAGGACGAACGCUGGCGGCGUGCUUCAUACAUGCAAGUCGAACGAGAAUCUGACUUCGGUCAGAGGAAAGUGGCGGACGGGUGAGUAAAAUGUAGAGAAUCUGCCCUUAAGCGGGGGACAACAGUUGGAAACGACUGCUAACACCCCAUAUGCGCGUAGCUGAGAUGCUAUUCGUGAAAACUCCGGUGCUUAAGGAUGAGUCUGCAUCUGAUUAGCUAGUAGGCGGUGUAAUGGACCACCUAGGCGACGAUCAGUAGCUGGUUUGAGAGGAUGAUCAGCCACAAUGGGACUGAGACACGGCCCAUACUCCUACGGGAGGCAGCAGUAGGGAAUUUUGCGCAAUGGGGGAAACCCUGAACCGCAGCAACGCCGCGUGAUUGAAGAAGCCCUUCGGGGUGUAAAGAUCUGUCAGUGGGGACGAAACUUGACGGUACCCACAGAGGAAGCAUCGGCUAACUCCGUGCCAGCCGCAGC
RNAcentral lists this ribosomal RNA (475 nucleotides) under uncultured bacterium. RNAcentral describes it as "bacterial SSU rRNA". It matches the Rfam family "Bacterial small subunit ribosomal RNA", at positions 24 to 518 of the family's 1533-position model. The record is from RNAcentral.